This 254-nucleotide ribosomal RNA is filed under the name uncultured bacterium. RNAcentral's name for it is "partial 16S ribosomal RNA". It matches the Rfam family "Bacterial small subunit ribosomal RNA", at positions 524 to 776 of the family's 1533-position model. The record is from RNAcentral.
UACGUAGGAGGCAAGCGUUUGUCCGGAAUUACUGGGCGUAAAGCGCGUGUAGGUGGUGGGACAAGUCUGCUGUGAAAGUGCCUGGCUUAACCGGGCGAGGUCGGCGGAAACUGUCCGACUCGAGGACGGUAGAGGGGGGUGGAAUUCCCGGUGUAGUGGUGAAAUGCGUAGAGAUCGGGAGGAACACCUGUGGCGAAGGCGGCCCCCUGGGCCGGCCCUGACACUGAGACGCGAAGGCGUGGGGAGCGAACGGG